Non-coding RNA from Mycena polygramma, 98 nucleotides. The record is from the annotation of a GenBank genome assembly. NCBI's taxonomy places the organism in Eukaryota, Fungi, Basidiomycota, Agaricomycetes, Agaricales, Mycenaceae.
GGCUCGGUUGCGCAUGGCGCGCAUCUGUCCUUCAUUGUUGGAAAGAAAUUGGCAACGUGUCAAGCAGAAUACCUCCCGUUCGACUCGGGACUGAGCCA